Cyprinodon tularosa is the source of this 153-nucleotide long non-coding RNA. RefSeq lists it as uncharacterized. Lineage: Eukaryota; Metazoa; Chordata; Actinopteri; Cyprinodontiformes; Cyprinodontidae. The transcript is spliced from 2 exons. The record is from RefSeq and is a predicted model, not a curated record.
CCAGAGAUGUUGAUGCAGGAUGUUCCCAAUGCGAAUGCCAUCCGGUUCCCUGGAGGGUGACGCUGUUCUUCUGGAGUUUCCGUAGACAAGUGUCUCUGAUGUGCGCACGGCCAUCAGACGAAAAUGUAACAAUGAGCAGUUCAGCCAAAAAAA